GAAAGUCCGACGGUACAGGGUGAUAGUCCCGUACACCAAAAUGCACAGGUUGUGAACUCGAAGAGUAGGGCGGGACACGUGGUAUCCUGUCUGAAUAUGGGGGGACCAUCCUCCAAGGCUAAAUACUCCUGACUGACCGAUAGUGAACCAGUACCGUGAGGGAAAGGCGAAAAGAACCCCGGCGAGGGGAGUGAAAAAGAACCUGAAACCGUGUACGUACAAGCAGUGGGAGCACCUUCGGGUGUGACUGCGUACCUUUUGUAUAAUGGGUCAGCGACUUAUAUUCUGUAGCAAGGUUAACCGUAUAGGGGAGCCGCAGGGAAACCGAGUCUUAACUGGGCGUUAAGUUGCAGGGUAUAGACCCGAAACCCGGUGAUCUAGCCAUGGGCAGGUUGAAGGUUGGGUAACACUAACUGGAGGACCGAACCGACUAAUGUUGAAAAAUUAGCGGAUGACUUGUGGCUGGGGGUGAAAGGCCAAUCAAACCGGGAGAUAGCUGGUUCUCCCCGAAAGCUAUUUAGGUAGCGCCUCGUGAACUCAUCUUCGGGGGUAGAGCACUGUUUCGGCUAGGGGGUCAUCCCGACUUACCAACCCGAUGCAAACUACGAAUACCGAAGAAUGUUAUCACGGGAGACACACGGCGGGUGCUAACGUCCGUCGUGAAGAGGGAAACAACCCAGACCGCCAGCUAAGGUCCCAAAGUCAUGGUUAAGUGGGAAACGAUGUGGGAAGGCACAGACAGCCAGGAUGUUGGCUUAGAAGCAGCCAUCAUUUAAAGAAAGCGUAAUAGCUCACUGGUCGAGUCGGCCUGCGCGGAAGAUGUAACGGGGCUAAACCAUGCACCGAAGCUGCGGCAGCGACACUAUGUGUUGUUGGGUAGGGGAGCGUUCUGUAAGCCUGCGAAGGUGUGCUGUGAGGCAUGCUGGAGGUAUCAGAAGUGCGAAUGCUGACAUAAGUAACGAUAAAGCGGGUGAAAAGCCCGCUCGCCGGAAGACCAAGGGUUCCUGUCCAACGUUAAUCGGGGCAGGGUGAGUCGACCCCUAAGGCGAGGCCGAAAGGCGUAGUCGAUGGGAAACAGGUUAAUAUUCCUGUACUUGGUGUUACUGCGAAGGGGGGACGGAGAAGGCUAUGUUAGCCGGGCGACGGUUGUC
This 1151-nucleotide ribosomal RNA is filed under the name Klebsiella pneumoniae. Its description in RNAcentral is "partial 23S ribosomal RNA". It matches the Rfam family "Bacterial large subunit ribosomal RNA", at positions 345 to 1506 of the family's 2925-position model. Lineage: Bacteria; Pseudomonadati; Pseudomonadota; Gammaproteobacteria; Enterobacterales; Enterobacteriaceae. The record is from RNAcentral.